This 561-nucleotide long non-coding RNA is filed under the name Nicotiana benthamiana. Its description in RNAcentral is "long non-coding RNA (NBEN_LNC041966)". Lineage: Eukaryota; Viridiplantae; Streptophyta; Magnoliopsida; Solanales; Solanaceae. The record is from RNAcentral.
AGAAAGGUCUUUCUACUGGACCCUUUUGCAUGCUUCUGAUACCCUCUUCUCCCUAUUACUAAGUUGAACUAUGUGACUACCAUAUUUCACUGUCUACUGACUUUGUAGUUAUUAUUGAAUGCUGCUCUUUGCCAUGGUUUAACCUCGCAUGCCUAAUGUUUAUGCACUCUUUUAUAUGCUGAAUUUCCCUCUAAAAUGACCUUCAAUUUUGGACUGAUUUCAGACCUCCUUGUAUAAGUCUGAUUGAUUUUUCCUUGUUUUACUAAUUUCCCUAUUUCUUGGGUUUUGAUUUGAAAACUUUUCUUAAACUUUUGAUUGUCCUAUUUCUAACUUGGUUUAUUCAUUUAUUCAUGAACCAGUGAUUUUGAAUCCCUGACUCCUUGAUUUACUAUAUGUUAAUUGGUCUAUUAUGUUUCUUACCUUAUUUGGUUAACCGUGUAUUUCAAAUAUUCUUCAUUAGUUCUUCCCCUAGUUAAACCUUUAUGUACCUACCCAUGAUUGUCUACUCUGCACAUGAUGCUUACUUAAUUUCUUUCCUUAGAUAUUUUCUGCCCAUUACCG